UUUCCGUAGGUGAACCUGCGGAAGGAUCAUUACCUUUCAAUGCAGCAGAAUUGCGAUGGUUGAGUAUCUCGCCUUUCGAUUCUGCCUGUAUUCUACCCUUGUUUCUCUUACACUAUUAUUUCCUCGGUAGGCUUGCCUACCGGGUGAAACCAUUUAUAACCUAUUUAAUUUUCAAUCAGCGUCUGAAAAAAUUAAUAAUUACAACUUUCAACAACGGAUCUCUUGGUUCUG
Molecule: unclassified non-coding RNA, 231 nt
Filed under: root metagenome
Description: partial contains small subunit ribosomal RNA, internal transcribed spacer 1, and 5.8S ribosomal RNA
Source: RNAcentral